Molecule: long non-coding RNA, 599 nt
Organism: Equus quagga
Lineage: Eukaryota; Metazoa; Chordata; Mammalia; Perissodactyla; Equidae
Exons: 3
Source: RefSeq, a predicted model, not a curated record
CCCCCACCUCGACUCUCCUCCCGCCCACCCAAACGCUGUAGUUACUAAGCAAAAGGAUGAGCUUCUUAACUUUGAUUUCUAAAGACUUUGAGGCUCCGCGUCUGAGGCUUCGUUUUAGGCUGCCGGCUGGCCCGGAGUCAGCACCAGUGACGUACACACCUAAAUCUGGUCCUCCGGCCCUUGGCGACCCGUAGCCUGGCGGCGGCAGCUGUGUAGCUUCCCGCCUCACCCUUGCCCCGCACCCGCCAAAGUCGGUGGGGGGCGGGGGGAGAGUUCACCCUAUGCCCAAAGGCCCCUCCUCUCCUUACAGUUAAUUAAGCUUCAGGAUUCCAGACCCCGAACGCAGGAAGACUCGAACUCUGCCGCUCCAGUGAGGAUUGUUUCAAAUAAAGCUGUCUGAUGUAGAAAGACAUGGUUGCUAGGGAGCCAGAGUCACGAUGGCUGAUGUUACUAGGGAGAAUACAGAGCAGGCAGUGGCUACAGUUGAUUCAGCACUACGUUACCAGAAUAAGUAAAGGUCUAUUUGCCUUGCAUGAUAUUAAAUUAAAUCUGUCUGAGAGAUAAACAACUUAAAUUUUAAUGCUUCACAUUCAAGAGUG